GUCACCUUCUCAUGGUGAGACUCCUCAAUCAGCUUCUUGGUGUGCUCCAGUUCUCUGACCAGGCCGUUCUGACGGACAGGAGGAGAAUCAGGAAUCAGACUCUCUGAGCAACUUUCAGGUAUCUGAAGAAGCUGAGCACUGAUAGUGUGAAGCUCUCAAAGCCCCGGUGGGUUUCCUCACCUUGCCGUUGGUGCUGGGCGU
This is a long non-coding RNA of Gambusia affinis (western mosquitofish), 201 nucleotides long. RefSeq lists it as uncharacterized. NCBI's taxonomy places the organism in Eukaryota, Metazoa, Chordata, Actinopteri, Cyprinodontiformes, Poeciliidae. The record is from RefSeq and is a predicted model, not a curated record. The transcript is spliced from 3 exons.